This 497-nucleotide ribosomal RNA is filed under the name uncultured bacterium. Its description in RNAcentral is "partial 16S ribosomal RNA". It matches the Rfam family "Bacterial small subunit ribosomal RNA", at positions 28 to 507 of the family's 1533-position model. The record is from RNAcentral.
GACGAACGCUGGCGGCGUGCCUAAUACAUGCAAGUAGAACGCUGAAGCUUGGUGCUUGCACCGAGCGGAUGAGUUGCGAACGGGUGAGUAACGCGUAGGUAACCUGCCUGGUAGCGGGGGAUAACUAUUGGAAACGAUAGCUAAUACCGCAUAACAGUAGAUAUCGCAUGAUAGCUACUUGAAAGGUGCAAAUGCACCACUACCAGAUGGACCUGCGUUGUAUUAGCUAGUUGGUGAGGUAACGGCUCACCAAGGCAACGAUACAUAGCCGACCUGAGAGGGGGAUCGGCCACACUGGGACUGAGACACGGCCCAGACGCCUACGGGAGGCAGCAGUAGGGAAUCUUCGGCAAUGGACGGAAGUCUGACCGAGCAACGCCGCGUGAGUGAAGAAGGUUUUCGGAUCGUAAAGCUCUGUUGUAAGAGAAGAACGAGUGUGAGAGUGGAAAGUUCACACUGUGACGGUAUCUGACCAGAAAGGGACGGCUAACUACGUG